CUGAGGUGAUGGGGGGGGGGAGGGGGGGAGUCCGCCGGGAGAUGCUGUUCCGGUGCUAAGACCUCGUGGUGACUCCUGGCAGCCUGUAGACCCACCUCUGAUCGGGACUCGGGUCUAGUUCGCCAAACCAGCGGGGCUCAGAAGAGGGCUGUCACAAAGGGCAUACAUUGGACUAGGGAACGGAAGCGGCUCUUUUUUGUCACGGAACCGCCGAGAGAAGAUGAGAAAACCAGAGCAAACAAAGCCUGAGUGAUUGACACAGCAUCAAACAACUGUAUGGGAAAAAAGAUGCCAAGAAAUCACCACUUCAGAAGGACUGAUACAGUGAGCAUGGCAAAGCAAGGACAAAUGUGAGACCCUCGGACUUUAAUUUGAUCCCUAAAGGGUUGGAUGUUUCUUUGACAGCUUCCUA
Molecule: long non-coding RNA, 412 nt
Filed under: Monodelphis domestica (gray short-tailed opossum)
Lineage: Eukaryota; Metazoa; Chordata; Mammalia; Didelphimorphia; Didelphidae
Description: lncRNA (ENSMODG00000041221.1)
Source: RNAcentral